This 20-nucleotide unclassified non-coding RNA is filed under the name Chlamydomonas reinhardtii. RNAcentral describes it as "small RNA Cre_3475". The record is from RNAcentral. Lineage: Eukaryota; Viridiplantae; Chlorophyta; Chlorophyceae; Chlamydomonadales; Chlamydomonadaceae.
UGGUGCUGCUAGGCAUGCGU